RNAcentral lists this ribosomal RNA (1732 nucleotides) under Tatumella sp. JGM118. RNAcentral describes it as "partial 23S ribosomal RNA". It matches the Rfam family "Bacterial large subunit ribosomal RNA", at positions 1218 to 2925 of the family's 2925-position model. Lineage: Bacteria; Pseudomonadati; Pseudomonadota; Gammaproteobacteria; Enterobacterales; Erwiniaceae. The record is from RNAcentral.
GUGUUGUUGGGUAGGGGAGCGUUCUGUAAGCCGUUGAAGGUGGUCUGUGAGGGCUGCUGGAGGUAUCAGAAGUGCGAAUGCUGACAUGAGUAACGAUAAAGCGGGUGAAAAACCCGCUCGCCGGAAGACCAAGGGUUCCUGUCCAACGUUAAUCGGGGCAGGGUGAGUCGACCCCUAAGGCGAGGCUGAAAAGCGUAGUCGAUGGGAAACAGGUUAAUAUUCCUGUACUUGGUGUUACUGCGAAGGGGGGACGGAGAAGGCUAUGUCAUCCGGGCGACGGUUGUCCCGGUUUAAGCGUGUAGGCUGAGAUCCCAGGCAAAUCCGGGAUCUCUUAAGGCUGAGGCGUGAUGACGAGGUACCACGGUACUGAAGUGACAGAUGCCCUGCUUCCGGGAAAAGCCUCUAAGCUCCAGGUAACACGAAAUCGUACCCCAAACCGACACAGGUGGUCAGGUAGAGAAUACCAAGGCGCUUGAGAGAACUCGGGUGAAGGAACUAGGCAAAAUGGUGCCGUAACUUCGGGAGAAGGCACGCUGGCGCGUAGGUGAAGGGACUUGCUCCCGGAGCUGAAGCCAGUCGAAGAUACCAGCUGGCUGCAACUGUUUAUUAAAAACACAGCACUGUGCAAACACGAAAGUGGACGUAUACGGUGUGACGCCUGCCCGGUGCCGGAAGGUUAAUUGAUGGGGUUAUCCGCAAGGAGAAGCUCUUGAUCGAAGCCCCGGUAAACGGCGGCCGUAACUAUAACGGUCCUAAGGUAGCGAAAUUCCUUGUCGGGUAAGUUCCGACCUGCACGAAUGGCGUAAUGAUGGCCAGGCUGUCUCCACCCGAGACUCAGUGAAAUUGAAAUCGCUGUGAAGAUGCAGUGUACCCGCGGCAAGACGGAAAGACCCCGUGAACCUUUACUAUAGCUUGACACUGAAUAUUGAGCCUUGAUGUGCAGGAUAGGUGGGAGGCACUGAAGUACGGACGCCAGUUCGUACGGAGCCAACCUUGAAAUACCACCCUUUAAUGUUUGAUAUUCUAACGUAGACCCGUAAUCCGGGUUGCGGACAGUGUCUGGUGGGUAGUUUGACUGGGGCGGUCUCCUCCCAAAGAGUAACGGAGGAGCACGAAGGUUAGCUAAUCACGGUCGGACAUCGUGAGGUUAGUGCAAAGGCAUAAGCUAGCUUGACUGCGAGAGUGACGGUUCGAGCAGGUGCGAAAGCAGGUCUUAGUGAUCCGGUGGUUCUGAAUGGAAGGGCCAUCGCUCAACGGAUAAAAGGUACUCCGGGGAUAACAGGCUGAUACCGCCCAAGAGUUCAUAUCGACGGCGGUGUUUGGCACCUCGAUGUCGGCUCAUCACAUCCUGGGGCUGAAGUAGGUCCCAAGGGUACGGCUGUUCGCCGUUUAAAGUGGUACGCGAGCUGGGUUUAGAACGUCGUGAGACAGUUCGGUCCCUAUCUGCCGUGGGCGCUGGAGAAUUGAGGGGGGUUGCUCCUAGUACGAGAGGACCGGAGUGAACGCACCACUGGUGUUCGGGUUGUCAUGCCAAUGGCAUUGCCCGGUAGCUAAGUGCGGAAAAGAUAAGUGCUGAAAGCAUCUAAGCACGAAACUUGCCCCGAGAUGAGUUCUCCCUGACUCCUUGAGAGUCCUGAAGGGACGUUGAAGACGACGACGUUGAUAGGCCGGAUGUGUAAGUGCAGCGAUGCAUUGAGCUAACCGGUACUAAUGACCCGUGAGGCUUAACCUU